GCCUGGGAGAAGAGAGAGGUGGGACACAGCUUCUCACAUCCUUUGGACUCUGGGUUGCCAAAACAGCUCUGGACGCAAGCUUGAACUGCUCUGAUUUCCAGUUGCUUUCUGUGGGGAUGCUUCGCCCCGUCCUCCACAGCGGAAAUGCUGCAGAGGGAGAGGACACCUCCUGGAAGGCCACAGUGGGGAUGAAGGCACAGUAAAACCCUGCGAGGAGCCAGGACACCCCCGGAAGCACCAGGUUCAGACCUCCAGCAGCUCCCUGCCUGCAGACGCUUGGAGAUGCUCAUGGGCUCAAUGGGAUUUUUGUAUGCAAGCUUCAUUACUGAACUGAAAAAUAAGAUGUGAAGAGCCUACAGGAUGAAGAGAGACCUCUGGAGGGAAACUAAAAGAAAACCCAAGAUGUUCAAGCAAACCAGACCCCACAGCAGCCAGUGCUAACCCAGCACAGUUUUAACCCUGCCAGUACUCCAGCAGAGACCCUCAUCCAUGGAUUGGUGCCAUACAAAUCCAGAACCAAGGAGCCCACACUGAGAGCACCAGGCAGGAGGCAGUGGAGAGCAUUGGUCUUGGCUCAUCAACAACUCAGCUCCUGCCAGAUACAUUGGGCAUCAUUACAGGGGAAAGCUUUAUUACUCUGAUAUUUGAAGGAAAAUAGCAAAAUAAAGCACUCUGGUUGUUAAAACACCCCCAGUUCUUAGAAUGCAAUCCCAACUGCCAACUCCCCUUUUUCAGAUAGAUGCAGCCCUGAAUGAGGCCCCAGUAUCUGCUUUUGGGUUAUUAAGUCAUAUGAAUCAUUAGACCAGCCAGUACAAGAACCUGCCUCACAUGGCAUGUGGCUGUGAAGCUUUGUGUUGCAUUUCAGGAACGUGAAGGGGCAAGCAAGACCCUCUGGAAUAACACCUACAACAGAACCCAGCUCCUGCACUGAGCCCAGUAACUUCCAACUGGCCUGGACAUCUAAGGAAACAUGCAUUCUGCUUUUUAAGACUAAAGAUGAAAACUCCACCAUUUCCCUCUGCAGCUUGUUCCUUGUUAGUUGUUUUUUUGUUUU
Molecule: non-coding RNA, 1054 nt
Organism: Anas platyrhynchos (mallard)
Lineage: Eukaryota; Metazoa; Chordata; Aves; Anseriformes; Anatidae
Source: RefSeq, a predicted model, not a curated record